Molecule: non-coding RNA, 22 nt
Filed under: Arabidopsis thaliana (thale cress)
Lineage: Eukaryota; Viridiplantae; Streptophyta; Magnoliopsida; Brassicales; Brassicaceae
Source: RNAcentral
AGGCGCUACCUACUGCUACUUU